RNAcentral lists this ribosomal RNA (396 nucleotides) under Filifactor alocis. RNAcentral's name for it is "bacterial SSU rRNA". It matches the Rfam family "Bacterial small subunit ribosomal RNA", at positions 65 to 452 of the family's 1533-position model. The record is from RNAcentral. Lineage: Bacteria; Bacillati; Bacillota; Clostridia; Peptostreptococcales; Filifactoraceae.
UAUUAACAGAACCUUUCGGGGCGAAGAAUAUAGAAGUUAGUGGCGGACGGGUGCGUAACGCGUGGGUAAUCUGCCUUUGUCAAAGGAAUAACUAUUCGAAAGAAUAGCUAAAACCGUAUAACAUAUUAAUAGGGCAUCCUAAUAAUAUCAAAACGAUAGUGGACAAAGAUGAGCCCGCGUCUGAUUAGCUAGUUGGUGAGAUAAAAGCCCACCAAGGCAACGAUCAGUAGCCGACCUGAGAGGGUGAACGGCCACAUUGGAACUGAGACACGGUCCAAACUCCUACGGGAGGCAGCAGUGGGGAAUAUUGCACAAUGGGGGGAACCCUGAUGCAGCAACGCCGCGUGAGUGAAGAAGGCAUUCGUGUCGUAAAACUCUGUAGUAGGGGAAGAAAGA